AGGAAGAGGAGGGAGGAGGGGUCUGGAGGAGGAAGAGGAGAUCCGGGCGCCCCAGCGGUGGCUCGACCGAUGCGAGGUCUGAUGAGUGCCUCUCCGACUCCUCCCUCCAUCCUCGCCACCAACCACCAUCCUCUUCUCCGCCAUGGCCUGCCGAGGCUGGCAAGGAGGAGACCGUCGCCCGUGCUCUCGAGCUCAAAGGUUCGGCCUUGGUCGCCUUCCCCCAACUUUUCUUGUUUCUUUCUCAGAUUUACCUGUUCAUCCUCUCGAGAUUCGAUUAGAUGUGUGUAUCUGUUCAUUUGCAGGGAGAGUUGGAUCCCAAGGGCAGAGUUGCAGUCUAGAGCUGCGGGGAACCCGUGUGAUUUGUUCUCUGUUGAUUUCCCUUCUUGUCUGGUCUAAUUUUGUGGUCAAAAAGGCGGGCAGCGCGAGCAGGAGCGAGACCGCGCAGACCUAGCCGCAUCCCUCGUCCCCUCUUGCCGCCGCCGGCUGCUCUCCUCUCCCCGCGCCUCGUCUGCCUCCUCUGCUCCCUCUCCCUUGUCUCCUCUCCCGCACCACCAGCCCCUUAUCUCUGCUCGCCCCAGCCGUCUCUCUCCUCCCCCGCACCGUCAGCCCCGGAUCUGGAGGAAGAGGAGGGAGGCGGGGUCUGGAGGAGGAAGAGGAGAUCCGGGCGCCCCGGCGGUGGCUCGACCGAUGCGAGGUCCGAUGAGUGCCUCUCCGACUCCUCCCUCCAUCCUCGCCACCAACCACCGUCCUCUUCUCCGCCGUGGCCUGCCGAGGCUGGCAAGGAGGAGACCGCCGCCCGUGCUCUCGAGCUCAAAGGUUCGGCCUUGGUCGCCUUCCCCCAACUUUUCUUGUUUCUUUCUCAGAUUUACCUGUUCAUCCUCUCGAGAUUUGAUUAGAUGUGUGUAUCUGUUCAUUUGCAGGGGGAGUUGGAUCCCAAGGGCAGAGUUGCAGUCUAGAGCUGCAGGGAACCCGUGUGAUUUGUUCUCUGUUGAUUUCCCUUCUUGUCUGGUCUAAUUUCGUGGUCAAAACAAUGGCAGAUUUCUUCAUUGGUUGAUUUGAUUUGGGGCUGAUUUUCCCCUGGAUUCCUUCCUCUUGCAGUUCCUUUCCGACUUGUUGUUCUUGCCUUGCUUCCCAACCACAGGUGCUCCCCACGGUGAGGAGCGGACGCGCUCGACGCCUUUCUUCCCAACCAGGUGCUCCUCUAUCUCUCCCUAUGUGUUGUGUGAUGAAUGUGUGGUAGUGGGAGUGGGAUAGGGAGAGGUAAAGAGAGCAGAUUCCAAAUGCAAUGGAAGGGAACUUUCAAUCCAAGUUUAAUUUUCAUUGGGCAUUCAAAUUCUUAAUUUGAUCUUCUCAAAUUUUUGCCUAGGUGUAUAAACAUACAUGCACAUGUAUAU
This 1394-nucleotide long non-coding RNA is filed under the name Triticum aestivum (bread wheat). RNAcentral describes it as "long non-coding RNA (TAES_LNC004727)". The record is from RNAcentral. Lineage: Eukaryota; Viridiplantae; Streptophyta; Magnoliopsida; Poales; Poaceae.